RNAcentral lists this ribosomal RNA (504 nucleotides) under uncultured bacterium. RNAcentral's name for it is "bacterial SSU rRNA". It matches the Rfam family "Bacterial small subunit ribosomal RNA", at positions 8 to 502 of the family's 1533-position model. The record is from RNAcentral.
AGAGUUUGAUCCUGGCUCAGAACGAACGCUGGCGGCGUGCUUAACACAUGCAAGUCGAACGCGAACGAGUUCUUCGGAACUUUAGUAGAGUGGCGCACGGGUGAGUAACGCGUAAGUAAUCUACCCUGAUAUCUGGGAUAACAAUUCGAAAGGAUUGCUAAUACCGGAUACGUUGAUUUAUCAAGAAAGAUGGCCUCUUCAUGAAAGCUAUUGUAUCAGGAGGAGCUUGCGUACCAUUAGCUAGUUGGUGGGGUAAUGGCCUACCAAGGCGACGAUGGUUAGCGAGUCUGAGAGGAUGAUCCGCCACACUGGAACUGAAACACGGACCAGACUCCUACGGGAGGCAGCAGUGAGGAAUAUUGCGCAAUGGGGGAAACCCUGACGCAGCGACGCCGCGUGGAUGAUGAAGGCCUUCGGGUCGUAAAAUCCUGUCAGGUGGGAAGAAAUGGUUCAUGGUUAAUACCCGUGUUCCUUGACGGUACCAUCAAAGAAGCACCGCUAACU